Long non-coding RNA from Vicia villosa (hairy vetch), 810 nucleotides. RefSeq lists it as uncharacterized. Lineage: Eukaryota; Viridiplantae; Streptophyta; Magnoliopsida; Fabales; Fabaceae. The record is from RefSeq and is a predicted model, not a curated record. The transcript has 3 exons.
AUAAAUAAAUUGCCUAAUAGGAAAAAGGCAUUCAUGAUGAUGAUUGUGUUUACAUUUGUGAUUUUAAUGGAAAGCAGCGAUCAGCCUAGCGUUGGUUGAAUAUUUUGGACCAUAAAAUACAGGAAGAAUAUCAACCAUAAAGCAGAGCAACAAUAAAAUACAGGAAGAAUCAAUCAGAUGCACAAUUCAAUUUUAUUUAGAUUGAAACACAAUAAAGCAGAGCAACAAUAAUUCGAGUGAAUUUUAUAGGGAAGGGUUCAAAAUAACUCAAUGCGAAAUUAGAAUUUCAUCACAAUGAAGAUGAAACUCUCAAUUAGCAGAGGUUUCCCUUAGUAAGGGUAUGCACUUAGCUUCUGCAGGUUCGAUGAUGAAGCACAAGUUUGCUUGGCCAUAAAAAAGAAAGGAUGGCAAUGAGAGAGAUUGAUCGGUUCUUUGUACUAUUUUGAUUUUGUUUAUGCUUUCAAUUUCAGGUGGCGGUUCGUUUCGAUAUAGGUUUCUCCGAUUACGCUAACGGUUACCUAUAGUAUUUUGAUCAGGAACUCAUAUUUUAGUGACACUCAUAUGCUAUACCAGUUCCAGCCUUCAAUAACCAAUGAAGCUAGCAGCUACUGUCAUGUUCCACGGUGCGCCAUUCUCGACUGUUGAUUCAAAAGGGUCUCAGAUGCCUGCUGAGCACGAAACAAAAACACCGUUUUUCGUUGUUCCGAAUGAAGCUAUAGCAAAACUGUCAUUAUAAAAUGGUUUUGGAAUACUUCCUAUAGAGAGUGAAAGUACAUCAACACCGUCGGAAACUUAAAAAUGUUAUGAAUA